RNAcentral lists this long non-coding RNA (773 nucleotides) under Jatropha curcas. RNAcentral describes it as "long non-coding RNA (JCUR_LNC001200)". The record is from RNAcentral. Lineage: Eukaryota; Viridiplantae; Streptophyta; Magnoliopsida; Malpighiales; Euphorbiaceae.
AGAUAUAUGGGUUCUUCUGUCCAUUCUGAAGCAAUUUCACCGUUAACUUGAUCUGCAAAUAUAAAAAUGACCUUAUCAUAAAAAAUAAAAAAAAAAUAAAUAAAUAAAUAAAAAAGAAGAAGAAGAAGAAGAAGUAAGAACUUCUUUGACAGGCUGUGAAAUACUCUUUCACUGGGUGCUUUAUCUCUUCAAAGUUCUGAGAGUUCUUUCACGAAAGGAGUCGCCGGAGUGAGGCGGCAACAUUGGAGAUCACGUUGUGGAAGCGAAUCGGGCGGGAGAGAAAUGUGAUGGUUCUGUUAAUAUUGAUCCAGUGUUGUAGAUCCGGGUCAGUUUCUGUCAAAUAAUCAUUUUGCAGUGGUGCCUGCGGUGACAUCGAUGCGCCACCAUUAUCCACUAAAUACACUGUCCUCCACCUCGUCGGCAUUGAGCAAGUGUUUCUUGUGGGUCAUGAUUGGGAUGCGAUAGUGGUUUGACAUUUUAGGCUUGAUGGAAUCAAAGCUUUGGUUAAUAUCAAUGUUGUUUUCAUGCCGAAAAAUCCUAACUAUAAGUCUGUGGAGAAAUACAGAAAAUUAUUAGGUGAUGAUUUAUAUAUCUGCAGGUUUCGAGUAAGUUCAUAUUAUUUUCCUUUCCUUUUUAAUUAUUCCCCUCUCUCAAAUUUUAUUCUUCUGUUAAUCAACCAUUUAUUUUUCAUUUAUUUGACCUGAGCAACUGAGAAUAUAAUCAAAUUCAUCUACUUUAUUCAUCUUGUUAUCAAUUUUUUAAUUGCAAUUUCA